Molecule: ribosomal RNA, 462 nt
Filed under: uncultured bacterium
Lineage: Bacteria
Description: partial 16S ribosomal RNA
Rfam family: Bacterial small subunit ribosomal RNA
Source: RNAcentral
AGUGAACGCUGGCGGCGUGCCUAAUACAUGCAAGUCGAACGAACGAAUAAGAGCUUGCUCUUAUAAGUUAGUGGCGCACGGGUGAGUAAUAUAUAGCUAAUCUGCCUCUUAGUAGAGGAUAACAGUCGGAAACGAUUGCUAAUACUCUAUACUUCUGCUUUACAUAAGUAAAGUAGAGAAAGUUUUUCGCUAAGAGAUGAGGCUAUACUGUAUCAGCUAGUUGGUAAGGUAACGGCUUACCAAGGCUAUGACGCAUAACUGGUCUGAGAGGAUGAUCAGUCACAUGGGAACUGAGACACGGUCCAAACUCCUACGGGAGGCAGCAGUAGGGAAUAUUGCGCAAUGGGGGAAACCCUGACGCAGCAACGCCGCGUGGAGGAUGACACUUUUCGGAGCGUAAACUCCUUUUAUCGGGAAAGAAUAAUGACGGUACCCGAUGAAUAAGCACCGGCUAACUCCGUG